CAGCAGCCGCGGGAAUACAGAGGGUGCGAGCGUUAAUCGGAUUACUGGGCGUAAAGCGUGCGUAGGCGGCUUCUUAAGUCGGAUGUGAAAUCCCUGAGCUUAACUUAGGAAUUGCAUUCGAUACUGGGAAGCUAGAGUAUGGGAGAGGAUGGUAGAAUUCCAGGUGUAGCGGUGAAAUGCGUAGAGAUCUGGAGGAAUACCGAUGGCGAAGGCAGCCAUCUGGCCUAAUACUGACGCUGAGGUACGAAAGCAUGGGGAGCAAACAGGAUUAGAUACCCCUGUAGUCCCUGUCUCUUAUACA
Molecule: ribosomal RNA, 301 nt
Filed under: uncultured bacterium
Lineage: Bacteria
Description: partial 16S ribosomal RNA
Rfam family: Bacterial small subunit ribosomal RNA
Source: RNAcentral